RNAcentral lists this long non-coding RNA (2087 nucleotides) under Theobroma cacao (cacao). RNAcentral's name for it is "long non-coding RNA (TCAC_LNC002552)". Lineage: Eukaryota; Viridiplantae; Streptophyta; Magnoliopsida; Malvales; Malvaceae. The record is from RNAcentral.
CUCCCAUAGUGAUCAGCCAAACCAGAAGAGAAGAGAAACCAAGGAAGAACAAACCCUAGGUGGGACAAAUCAAAGAGAAAGUGUUGGAAUUCAAGGAUUUGAUCAAGCAAAGGUAAAAUUUCUUUGAUUUUGCUAGUGAUUUACCUUACCCAUGCAUUUUCCCUUAAUUUCCAUGGUUAAAUUACAUGUUUUCAUGAUGAAUUCAUGGCUGGUCAAAAUGGGUAUGGAGAGAGAAUGAUCUUGGAUUGGUUUGAUUUUUAGAUAUGUUAAUGUUUUUAGGUGAUUAAUGAUGUGUAGCAUGAAAACAAGUGCAGAAAACCACCAAAGGUUUGGAACCCAUCAAUAGUCGAAUUCUCUAAGUGAAUAAAGAGGAAGAAUGGGAUGUUAUUCUAGGUGAUUUGAUUAAGAAAUAAUAGUUUUUGGUGUAGGAAUUAAUGAAUUAUGGAGAGAAAAUUAAGUAGGAAAAAUCACGGAGUCAGUGUACCAUUAUUGGCUGAAUUUCUAGGGGAAUAUUAGCUGAUGAUCUUGAUGUUUAUUUGAGGAAUUAUGAUGAAUAAUGAUGAAUUAUGAGCCUAGAAAAAUAAUGGGAAUUUUCGGAGUAAAAAUAAGAAUUUUUACCCACUAAGGGUAUUUUCAUAAUUUGCUAUCGGGACUGAUAAAUUGAAUCUCAUUCACAGUCACUAAGGUAAUUUAAGUAUAAUUGGAGUGUAGAAAGUGAGAAGAAUUGAUUUGGAGUUAAAUUGGAGAUAAUAGGCCGAAUUAGGUCAGCACCGCAUUUAAGCUGUAGUCGGAUAAGUUGCAUGUCAUAUCAUGCAUAUAUACCGAGCCUGAAUUGAUUUUAUAAUGGUCAAGCAUUGAUGUGGUGAAUUAUGUAUUGUACAUUGUGGAUAGGUGGUGAGCAAAUUACACUGGUAAAAGUACCAAAAUUGUGCUUGAAGACUGGGAUUAGGAGUACAUCGACUCCUAGAACUGUGAGUGGACAAUUUAUCGUCUUAAAUAUCUAGAGUAAUUAUACUUGUUUGAUGCUUUUAUUGAAUGGUGAAUUUAAAUUAUAAAAUAUUAUGUUUUCCAAUUAAAAUGUUUUUUAAUAAAAAAUGAGAUUUAUACUGGUUUUGAAAACUAAUAUUGUUUUGGGAAAAUUGAGUAUAUGGAGACUGUGUUGAAAUUUAUGAUUUUAUAUGUUAUUGAAAUUGUGGCUUAUGACACUAUGGUAGCAUGAUGGCUAAAUUUUUGAGGUUGGCAUGAAAUAUAUGAACAGUUUUGGAUUGGUCUCGGUAGACUGGAUUACAUUUUAUUCGCCAUAUUAUGCUACUGGAAUUUUUAUGGGUCUGGUGGUAUAUUAAACGGUCACUGCAGUGGUGGGGGUUUCCGUGGACUGCCUAUGAGAGGGGCACGGUAACUCAAUUAUAUACUUACCUCCGGGGGGAGAUGUUGGGUGAAGUAUCUCCUGAGGUAUGAUUUGAGUGCACCUCACGUUCGGGCCACCACGUGAGAGUGAGACUCAGCCAACGCCAAGGAACGGCUGUGUGUCAGAUGUGAAAACAUGUUUAUGGGUAUGGGUCAUUGAACAGCCUUGGCGGUCUCAGUGGGAUACCUUGACGAAGGUACCCGCGAGAAUGAUUCUGGCAGGGGCCAAGUUUAAGAAAUUCAUAAGCCGAAAAAUUUUGAUGAAAAGAAAUUAUUUGGUAUAGAUUGAAACGAAUUUUAUGUUAUGAACAUUAUUGAGAUAUAAUGUUUUUAUAUUGUCUCCAUCUACUUGGCUUUAGAUGCUUUUGAUGGUAAUUGUUUACUCACUGAGAUUAUGUAAUCAUAAUCUCACCCCUCUUCCUAUCUAUUUUUCAGGCUCAGGACAAUUUGUUGAUAGUUGAUUAAGACGAGAAUUAAUCUCAGAGUUACAUCCUAGAAAGUAAGGGUUCGUAGCCCUACAUCUUCUUAGUUAGUUGGGGGCCCACGUGUCACUGUUAAAGUAAUUUUAUUCUUCAGUUAUUUGAUUUAAAGUAUGUAUGAAUAUAUUUAGCUUUUACACCAUGUUUUUGGCGAGUUUCGAUAUUUUCGAAGAAAAUGAUGAAAAUGCCCCUGUGAGCCAG